This is a non-coding RNA of Rattus norvegicus (Norway rat), 4379 nucleotides long. NCBI's taxonomy places the organism in Eukaryota, Metazoa, Chordata, Mammalia, Rodentia, Muridae. The record is from RefSeq and is a predicted model, not a curated record.
UUUAUUUAACUGAUAUAGGUCGCAGACAUUAGAAAGUUGGGUUUUAAACAGUGUUCCAUGGAAGAUAUUGAACAUGUGGGAUAUGGAUGUAGAUGUAAGAAUAAUGAAGUGAGACUAGUAUAAGUGGUGAGGGACAUAGGACAGGAAGGAACAAAGAACUGAAAAAGCAAGAAUGAGGUUGAAUGUCAACAAGAAUAAAAUAAGACAACCUGUUACUUUUUAGGUUAGGUUAAAAUAAAUAUUAAAAUUUAAAACUAAUACCAUUAUGUUUAAUGCUAUAUACAUCAUGUUUGAGGAAAAAUGCCAGCAAGUGAUAUCGAAAUGGAAAUAAUAUAUUUAUCUUAUUUGAUCUUAGUCAAAUUAUCCAUAAUUAUUUGGUAAAAACAUCAUUUGUCUGCCAAAUUUAUUGUACAACUUAAAAAAUUGCCUGUGGUAUAAUCAAACUUUAUGAUAGUACACAAUUUUAUUAUUAGGUCAACUUUUAAAAUCUGUGAUUUGAUCUAUGUUUUAAGUUUCUUUUUACUUAAAUUUGUUCCUCCGGACAUUCACACAUAUUAAAUUAUCAUUUUCAAAGUUGAAUACUACUAUAAAAAUAUGAUCCAGCGGGGUUUUUGAAAUUGCUCAAUUAUAAGUAAUAUUAUCCGUAAACUACAGGACAUUCUCCACUAAGCUCAUAGAUACAAAGAAGAUACACAAGAAGAAUGCCCCCAAGUGCAUAUGAUUGAGUCUCAUGUAGAAUGGGCAUAAAAUUGUCUAGGAGGCCGAUUGAGGGAAGGAACUAGAUGGGAGAUGGAAGGAAGAGGAAAAUGGAUCCUGUGUGGGAAGGGAGAGGAGAUAUGACCCGAUAGUCAGGAGAAGGAAAGGAUAUCUUGAACUUUUAGAGAUGAGGAGGUAGGGGAAAUCUCCAGGAAGAGAAAGAGUCCAGGAUAAUGAAGGUACGCACGAAUCAAUGGGGUUUACCGAAGCUGUGACUUACAUUGGUGUUAUGGAACAUUAAGAGGCCAACUCCUGUAGCCCGGAAGGACACCAGUGGAGGGAUAAAGACACAAAUACAACUACAAAACUUUCUAGGCAAAAUUUUUCAAGCCUAAAAGAAAUUUAGAACCGUAUUCUAGGGUCUACGUUCUCCUUUGCUUUAUUGAUGGCUGGUAAUUUUUGUAUAAAAUAAGGAUUUGGGACAUUAUCAUUAGAAGUAGGUAUACAAUAUUUAUAUUGUUAUAUUCACGCUUUAGCUGGGCCCACUUUGUUGCCAAUAUCAUUACAAAAAUAUAAAAUUAUAAUUAAUAAUUUUUAUAAUUAUAAUUUUAUAAUUAUAAUUAUAAAAUUAGAAAACAGAAUUUUUGAGUACACAUUCAGGAAUAUAUAUAAAGUCCUCUUUCAAAGAAUGUACAAUAAGAAAAUGUAAUACAAUAUUCAUUCAAUUUAACGUCUGGAGGGAAAAUAUUGGACUUUAGGAAACAGAGAAAACCUAGGAACUUGAAUUGUAUGUCACAGGAAUGGACGUGGAAGUGAAAUUAUUAUCCAGAAUAUUCUCCUCCACACCAUGUUCCUAGAUCUUUUUUACCCAUGCCAAGCCCCUGACCAACAUUCUCUAUUCCGAACAUGUAAGUACUAAUGAAGCAAAGAGAAGUCUCUAGCUUUAAAGAUAUAUAAUAUGUAAAGGUUUCCAGUAUGUCACAGGAGACACUCUUGGAAAGGGCACCCUCAAAUCUGGUCCAUGGGAAAGUUCAGUGAGUCUUGGGUACGUAUUGAGUGGGAUUGCAGAAGUAGUAGCCUUUAUCUGAGCCUUCCACACAUGGGAAUCAGGUGCUGCGAUCUUCUUAGAAUCAUCUGGACUUCCCUGCUUGAUAUGGUUCCUGGAAGUCAGAGCGUUUAUGUAAUCAAUUUCUUCAAUACAAAAGCCAGUUGUUGGGAAGGGCACAUUUGUUCUUCUCAGAGCUCGUGGCUUUUACUCUUUUUGCUCUGAAGAAAAAGGUUCAAAGAAACAAAGGAAAGAAAAGUAUGGUCUCCUCAGCAGUGUAAACACCUCCAUGCUUUGGAUUCCUAUUGUGUAAUUUGUUUAUAACACUGAUAUCUGGAGGAGAAGAGCUUCUAGUUGAGACUUCAUCAUCUCAGUCUUUCCACUAGUAUUACUCUGAAUACCAUUCUCUGACAGUGACUCUUUAGAUUUCUGAGUCAAUAGGUUUGAUUAGCUGGCAGAUUUCUUUUCUUUCUUUCAUUGUUUUUAUUUUUUAUAAAAUUUUAUUGCUUUUUUAACUGGAUAUUUCUACAUUUGAAUUUCAAAUGUUAUUUCCUUUCCCUGUUUCUUUUCCAUAAUUAGCCUAUACAAUUCUGCUCCCCUUCUUCUAUAACCCACCUUACUGCCCCCUGACAUUGCCUUGAACUUGGAGUCAAACCCAAUGACUUCUCCUUCCAUUGGUGAACCCAAGGCCAUCCUUUGCAACAUAUGCAGUUGGAGCCAUAGUUCUUUCCAUGUCCAGUCUUUGAAUAUUGGUUUAUUACCAGAAAUCUCUGUUGCAUUUGCAUUGUUGUUCUUAUGGUGUUGAAAGCACCUUUAGCUCUUUUAAUCCUUUUUCAAACCCUACCAACAAGAUGUCAAUUUUCAGUUCACUGGCAGCAUAGACUCCUUAGCUUCAUCACUCUUAUCUACAUCUGGUUGCUGAAUGUGUGUGUGUGUGUGUGUGUGUGCGUGCGUGUGUGUGUGUGUGUGUGUGUUUCUGUGUCUGUAGAGCUAAACAAUGAAUUCUCAAAUGAGGAAUAUCAACAUCCUUUGCCAUCAGGUAAAUGGAAAUAAAGAAAAAAAAUCCUGAGUUUCCACAGCACACCAAUCAGAAUGACGAGGAUAUAUUUGGUCCCUUGUACAGCUAUGGUGUUUGGUGGAUUUUUAACAUGGAUUCUGCACUACUAGGUUAAGAUUUUAGAAUCCACAAAUGACAAAGCCAUAUAGACUCCUUCCUAUUCUUAUGAACCUACUGAAGUAGAAGAUUCACUGGACUUCAAGCCACUCCUCUCCCAGCCCAUGUCAUGAACUUUAUGUUUGGACUGAAUAAAGAAUCAUGGUAAAACAUCCAAAACCCUCAAAUCUGGCCAUGGAAACACUGGAAGGUAGAUAUUAGAGAACUGCUAUCUAAUGCCACUGCAGAACCACAUUAUAUAGUCUAUGUUGUCCUUUCCUUUACUAAUGUCAGGUAAUUUUUGGAUAAAAUAAGGAUUUAGGAGUUUAUCAUUUAAGUAGAUACAGAAUAUUUACACUAUUAUAUUCACUUUAGAACUGGGCCCCCUUUUUUCUAAAAUCAGAGCAAAAAAAUGGAAUAGGAUAAUAGAACAUUGGAGUACACAUUCAGCAAUAUAUAUAAAGUCCACUAUCAAGGAAUGUACAAUAAGAAAAUGUAAUAAAAUAUUCACUCAAUUAAAGGUCUGUAGGGAAAAUAUUGGCCUUUAGAAAAGAGAGAUAUCUGAGGAAAUUGAACUAUAGGCCAGAGGAAUGGAACUGGGAAUAAAAUUAUUAUCCAGUAGAAUCUCCUGCACUCCAUAUUCCUAGAUCUUAGAGACCCAAGCCAUGCCUCUGGCUAACUUUCCCCAUUCAGAGCAUGUGACCAUUAGUGGAGCAGAGAUAAGUCUCUACCUUAAGAGAGAUUGAGUACAUAAAGGUUUCCAGUGUGUCACAGGAGACAUACCUGGAAAGGACACCUUCGAAUCUGGUAAAUGUAAGGAAAGCUGUUUAGCAUGUAGGAGAUGGCCGUUCUCAGUGACAUCAUAAAUAGGACCUCCGUGACAAAUUUGUUGUAACUAGGAGAGCCCUAGCUUCUUCUGUGAUGUAACAAUUACUGUCCUGACAGGAACUGCCUCUCACAUAUUCCCUCAGUAACUCUCCGGUUUGCUAAUUGGCCACUAAUUCAGAGUAAACAGCCAUUUGGGAGUGAGAACAAAAAGGAUGAAGAGAUCAGAGAUGGGGAGAAAGAAGCUGACCUUCUGUCCUUGUAUGAAAAAAAAAGGAAAAAUAAGUGGUACUUUGAAAAGUUCAGGGAGCCCUUGGAAGGGUUGGAGUGGUAUCACUGAAGAGAUAGACUUGAUCUGAGACUUACACAUAUGGGAAUCAAGAGCUGGAAGCUUCACAGAAGCAUCUGGACUUCCCUGUUCUUAUGGUUCCUGGAUGUCAAAGAAGAAAAAGGUCCUAAGGAAGGAGGUAAAGACAAGUAUUGGGUCCUCAGGUCAGAGUAAACUCCUCCAAGCUUUGGAUACCUAUAGUGCAUUUUGUGUCUGACACGGAUAUCUCGGAGAAAGAAGUGCUUCUAGUUGAGACUUCAUCAUCUUUGUCUUACUACAAGUAUUACUCUGAAUACCAAUUUAGAUUUCUGAGUAAAUAACUGUGAUUAGUU